RNAcentral lists this ribosomal RNA (220 nucleotides) under uncultured Thiobacillus sp. RNAcentral describes it as "partial 16S ribosomal RNA". It matches the Rfam family "Bacterial small subunit ribosomal RNA", at positions 1163 to 1382 of the family's 1533-position model. Lineage: Bacteria; Pseudomonadati; Pseudomonadota; Betaproteobacteria; Nitrosomonadales; Thiobacillaceae. The record is from RNAcentral.
CCGGAGGAAGGUGGGGAUGACGUCAAGUCCUCAUGGCCCUUAUGGGUAGGGCUUCACACGUCAUACAAUGGUCGGUACAGAGGGUUGCCAAGCCGCGAGGCGGAGCCAAUCCCACAAAGCCGAUCGUAGUCCGGAUUGUUCUCUGCAACUCGAGAGCAUGAAGUCGGAAUCGCUAGUAAUCGCAGGUCAGCAUACUGCGGUGAAUACGUUCCCGGGUCUU